This is a long non-coding RNA of Xiphophorus couchianus (Monterrey platyfish), 1701 nucleotides long. RefSeq lists it as uncharacterized. The record is from RefSeq and is a predicted model, not a curated record. NCBI's taxonomy places the organism in Eukaryota, Metazoa, Chordata, Actinopteri, Cyprinodontiformes, Poeciliidae. The transcript is spliced from 5 exons.
AAAGGUGGUGAGAUCAUGACCGUCCUGCUUUGACAUGCCCCGCAACAAAAGGCCGUUCUGCAUUCUGACACUGUACUCGCCCCCUCCAUAAAAGCCUGUGGUUACUGCGCUAACGGUCCAUAAUUUGAGGCAUCAACCCCAAAUCAUGGCCGCAUCUGCUACACGGAGGAAAAUAAAAACAAAGCUGUGCAAACAAGGUCAACCCAAACAAGAGGGCAGACUAAUACCCAGAGGAAUGUUCGCGAGGCGCCAUGCCUGGGGCUGCAGCGGCCCUGGGAUCAGCGCAUGACGGCGUCUGAGUGAGAAGCUGCGCUCUUUCCAGGCUUUGUAGAUUCACUCCUGUUCGACAGAUGAAAAUAUGAACGUUAUGUGAACUCUGACCUACUAAAAAGUAACCGGAGAGAGUAGAAAAGCAGUCGGUGAUUACAGGGUGUCUACACAUUUUUCUGACUUUUUUUUGGCAGUAUUUUCUUUAUUAGCAUUUGUUUGCAAUAUUCCAAUAUGGGAGCUGCAAACAUGGAGAGAAGAGCAAUUUAAAAGGAAGAUAGUGAAUAAAGUCUGAAAAUGUUGAUUAUUUUUAUACUUUAUACCACACAAAUGAAUGGAAGAUAGCCAGAUGAAAACAUCUGUUAUAGAACGAAAAAAAUAAGCAUUCUCCCAUAAUCUCUUUUGUUUAAAAAAAAAAAAACAGAUGAAUGGAUAGUGCGGGUUACAGUCCGGAAUUUUUUUUUUUUCCGUUUUCUUUUUAGAUAUUUAUCCAGGUCUGCGCAAGGUGCACUUUCACUGAAACGGACCAAUAGAAAGUAAGGUCUGGUUAGUUUGGAUUUAGCUUUAAAGUGGGGAAAGUUGAUCCCGUUUUCACUAAUUAUUCCCAAGAAGGGGACCUGCAACAUCCUGGGGACAAUUGGGGGAUAUAAAAGCUGAUAUUCAGAACCAACACUAACAGAACUCGAGCAUUGUGGAACAUUGUGGAACAACUCUUAAGGCAAAAAUGAGAACAGACGUCAUGGGAAAGGUAACGUGAGCACCAAAAGCUUUCCUUAAUGUUUCCCCACUUUAAAGUGGCUGCCUAAACGCAAACUCUCAUCCCUUCAUGGCGCCGCGGAGUGGCCGACGUCCAGUCUCCUCUGGGCGGAGCCUCUUUUCCGCGCGGCUGGCACGGCACUCACUACACUUCCCAGAGUUCCUGGGGUCUGGAAGAACUCUUUGGAAGAGGAAGCUGUGGUUUCCUUGGGUGUAUGUGGAGUCUGAAAAGAGAGCAGAAGAAAGAUGUGACUGGAGACUCCAUCUUGGCUGACCUCUGACCUUCAGGCGCCCAUUCUUGCUGCUCCGGCGGCUUGUAGAGCAUGACGACGGAGGGGUGUGAGAGGCUGGGCAGAGCUGCUGAAUUUCACGGGCCCCAGCCACCUGAAGGCCGGCUUCCUGGCUCUUUCCUCUCUGACAUAAACCUUCCUGAUGAGCUCCAGGCUGGUCAGGACAUUGGCGAUGUCAUACAGACGCCGCACCUUGGCUAAACGGGAGUCCUGGCUCUCCUCGAUGAGGACCUUGGCCGCCGCGUCCAGGGUAACGGUUUGAGUUUUGGACACCAGGAAGAGCAUGACAAACUUCUGGCUCAUGAUGCGCAGAGAUUUGUCCUUUCUGUUGCCCCCGGCUGCAGAACGAAGCAGAUUUAAGUUCACACUCAGGCUAUUUGAGAAGAGG